This is a long non-coding RNA of Trichomycterus rosablanca, 438 nucleotides long. RefSeq lists it as uncharacterized. The transcript has 3 exons. The record is from RefSeq and is a predicted model, not a curated record. NCBI's taxonomy places the organism in Eukaryota, Metazoa, Chordata, Actinopteri, Siluriformes, Trichomycteridae.
AGGAUCGUUCAGUCCAUCAUCAGUAAUGGAUAAGAGUUGAAUGGUGUCCACUUAGCACGGCAGAUAUGACCUGGAUCGUACAACAGUUCCCAGUUUGGAAAUUUACCCCCAUGUGCACUGUACUGACCUCUAAUGCUUGGACGUCGCCCUGUCUGUUCUGAGGGACAGCCCUGACCCAUCAAGACAUGGACUCCACUAAACCCCUGAAGGUGUGCUGUGGUAUCUGGCACCAAGAUGUUAAGAAACUCCAGUGACCUGAACAGAGUCCUGACCUCAGCCCCACUCAGCAGCUUUGGAAUGAACCAGGACAUCAACUGAGGCUUUCUUGAUACAAAUGCUCUUUUGACUUAAUGGGCACAAAUUUCCACAGAUAUAUUUCAAUAUAUAGUGAAAAGCUUCUCAGAAGAGCGGCUGUUGAUCUAGCUGAAAUAAAUCACA